Non-coding RNA from Danio rerio (zebrafish), 509 nucleotides. Lineage: Eukaryota; Metazoa; Chordata; Actinopteri; Cypriniformes; Danionidae. The record is from RefSeq and is a predicted model, not a curated record.
CAUGAUUUUUCUUGAUCUUUCAAGAUUUCAUUUUUCGUUAUUUUUCGAUGUUUUUUCAUUUCUCGAGAUUUUUCGUGACACUGAAGCGGUUCCAGCAGUACAUUCUCAGCAAAGAUAUAGGCUUUAUUUUAUUUUUUUAACUACUUUAUUAAAAAUAUAUAUCAUGCUGGCAACAUUUCAUGCAAACUACAACUUGUAACUCACAGAAACCCCCAAAGGACAGGCCUCUUCCUGCAGUGGCGGCCAGCUCCAGCUCAUCGGGUUCUAGAGGUGACGGUGGAUGCGCAGAUGAUGCGCUACUUGUGAAAAACCCUCAAUGCUUUUGAAGCACAAGCAGUUGAGGACAAAGGCAGUCUGCCAAAGAAACCACUCAGCUCCUCUGAAAGACAAGGAGCCGGGGAAGCAAAGAGAAGAAAACGUUCCUGUGAAGAUCUUUCACAGAAGCCCCACUCAGACUCUCCACUGUCUGCUGUAAGUUCAUCGUUUGUACAUCACAAUUAGGUGGUGUA